UCAAUUUUUCACUAAAAAUUCUAAUUUUAGCUAAUAAAAAUAACAUGGACUAAAAGAAAUUGAUACAUACCUCGUUCGCGGCUCCCAAACAGCUGGAUGAUUGGGUGUUCGAUGGCGAAACUCACUAUACUCUCUUACUUGGCAGUUGUGAAUCAUUCGCCGUCGAUAUUGGCGUCAUCAGCUUCGUCGUCGAUAUUGGCAUCAUCAACUUCGUCGUCAUGGUCUCUAGUUUGUGACCAAAGUAAUUGAUCAAUUUUUUGAAAUGGGUUUUGAGCUACCUUGCUUCGAUUUAGGUGGAGGAGAGAUGAGUUGUAUUUCUGGUUUUGGU
Molecule: long non-coding RNA, 328 nt
Filed under: Citrus maxima (pomelo)
Lineage: Eukaryota; Viridiplantae; Streptophyta; Magnoliopsida; Sapindales; Rutaceae
Description: long non-coding RNA (CMAX_LNC000642)
Source: RNAcentral